This is a long non-coding RNA of Hippopotamus amphibius kiboko, 777 nucleotides long. RefSeq lists it as uncharacterized. The transcript has 4 exons. Lineage: Eukaryota; Metazoa; Chordata; Mammalia; Artiodactyla; Hippopotamidae. The record is from RefSeq and is a predicted model, not a curated record.
UGCCACAGGAUUGAGCUUGUAGAAGUAUCUGCGUAAGCUACAGAGAAAAAAUCUAAUUUAUUUACACUGAAGUCAGGUCUCUCUAAAAAGACUGGAGGAAUAUUCACACUCUACUCUCUCAGAGACACUUUGAGGCUUCAUUCAGUGUAAGCCAGGAAGAUGCUUAUAUGAAAUGGGUUUUCUUCUACAACAACGUGUCCUGUCUGCUUGCUGGAAAUCAGUGAAUUCCUCAAAUCGUGCCAAUCAGCCAUCGUGGUAUGAGCUUUGCUUUUCUACUCUCACUGCAGAAUCUGAGGAUGCCACAGCUGGAUUCUAGUAAGUCUUGUGUGCUAUAUCUGGUCAUCACCUCAUUUUCUGACCAUUUGAUUUUUUUUUUUUCAGGUGACUUUUUUUUUCCUGUCUGAAGCAGAAGGAAUAUAGCCAACUUAUCCUGAUUUCAAAUUGUUUAUAGUCCUGGCUGCUGGGAAAAAAUCACCGUCAGAUGUGUGCAUUGCCUUUGGAAAAAGCUAAGAAGGGCUUCACAGACCCAUGGACAGUCCAUGUAAUAGAUGUCAUGGAUACACCUGCAGGAGAAAACCUCCACCUAGUAUCUUGUGAUAUAGAUCUGUAUCCUUUUCAUCAUGGAAGACAUCAUUCUGUGAGAACAGGAACAGAAAGUAAAGAGAAUGAAGUGGGACAGGAGACAGACGCCCCGAGGUACUCUGAAAACUCCAGAGACUGUAAGAGCAUCCGAUGAAUCCAAGUUAAAGUGCAUUAAUAAAUACUGCUUCCCUCAAA